RNAcentral lists this ribosomal RNA (253 nucleotides) under uncultured bacterium. RNAcentral describes it as "partial 16S ribosomal RNA". It matches the Rfam family "Bacterial small subunit ribosomal RNA", at positions 524 to 776 of the family's 1533-position model. The record is from RNAcentral.
UACGUAGGGUGCAAGCGUUAAUCGGAAUUACUGGGCGUAAAGCGUGCGCAGGCGGUGAUGUAAGACAGGUGUGAAAUCCCCGGGCUUAACCUGGGAACUGCAUUUGUGACUGCAUCGCUGGAGUGCGGCAGAGGGGGAUGGAAUUCCGCGUGUAGCAGUGAAAUGCGUAGAGAUGCGGCGGAACACCGAUGGCGAAGGCAGCCCCCUGGGCUGAGAUUGACGCUCAGGCACGAAAGCGUGGGGAGCAAACAGG